Molecule: small nucleolar RNA, 107 nt
Organism: Mercurialis annua (annual mercury)
Lineage: Eukaryota; Viridiplantae; Streptophyta; Magnoliopsida; Malpighiales; Euphorbiaceae
Source: RefSeq, a predicted model, not a curated record
AUGUGAUGAUGGGGAACUUUCCUCUGCAUCUCCUUGUAGCGCUCCCAAGCUUCAUGUAUCGAUUCUCCAUCAUGUUGUUGAUAGAGCAUAAUAUCCCUUGUCAACUU